Molecule: ribosomal RNA, 406 nt
Filed under: uncultured bacterium
Lineage: Bacteria
Description: partial 16S ribosomal RNA
Rfam family: Bacterial small subunit ribosomal RNA
Source: RNAcentral
AUUGAACGCUGGCGGCAGGCUUAACACAUGCAAGUCGAACGAGUGGCGGACGGGUGAGUAAUGUUUGGGAAUCUGCCUUAUGGAGGGGGAUAACGACUGGAAACUGUCGCUAAUCCCGCGUACCAUCGGCUGAGCCCAAAUGGGAUUAGGUAGUUGGUGGGGUAAUGGCCUACCAAGGCGACGAUCUCUAGCUGGUCUGAGAGGAUGACCAGCCACACCGGGACUGAGACACGGCCCGGACUCCUACGGGAGGCAGCAGUGGGGAAUAUUGCACAAUGGGGGCAACCCUGACGCAGCCAUGCCGCGUGAAUGAAGAAGGCCUUCGGGUUGUAAAGUUCUUUCGGUGAGGAGGCGUUAAUCACAGAAGAAGCACCGGCUAACUCCGUGCCAGCAGCCGCGGUAAUUC